Molecule: ribosomal RNA, 447 nt
Filed under: uncultured bacterium
Lineage: Bacteria
Description: bacterial SSU rRNA
Rfam family: Bacterial small subunit ribosomal RNA
Source: RNAcentral
CCAGACUCCUACGGGAGGCAGCAGUGGGGAAUAUUGGGCAAUGGGCGCAAGCCUGACCCAGCAACGCCGCGUGAAGGAAGAAGGCCCUCGGGUUGUAAACUUCUUUUAACAGGGACGAAGAAAGUGACGGUACCUGUUGAAUAAGCAUCGACUAACUCCGUGCCAGCAGCCGCGGUAAUACGGAGGAUGCGAGCGUUAUCCGGAUUUAUUGGGUUUAAAGGGUGCGCAGGCGGAAUGUCAAGUCAGCGGUAAAAUUUCGGGGCUCAACCCCGUCGUGCCGUUGAAACUGGCGUUCUUGAGUGAGCGAGAAGUAUGCGGAAUGCGUGGUGUAGCGGUGAAAUGCAUAGAUAUCACGCAGAACUCCGAUUGCGAAGGCAGCAUACCGGCGCUCAACUGACGCUCAUGCACGAAAGCGUGGGUAUCGAACAGGAUUAGAUACCCCCGUAC